Molecule: transfer RNA, 73 nt
Filed under: Phycisphaeraceae bacterium
Lineage: Bacteria; Pseudomonadati; Planctomycetota; Phycisphaerae; Phycisphaerales; Phycisphaeraceae
Description: tRNA-Asp
Rfam family: tRNA
About the family: Transfer RNA (tRNA) molecules are approximately 80 nucleotides in length. Their secondary structure includes four short double-helical elements and three loops (D, anti-codon, and T loops).
Source: RNAcentral
GGUGCCGUAGCUCAGACGGCAGAGCGCUUCCCUGUCACGGAAGAGGUCACGGGUUCAAGCCCCGUCGGUGCCG